AAAGUUUACUUUUAAAACUCUAAAAGAGGGGUGCUUAUGAUUUGAAAAUUUUAAACUAUUAAAAUUAAGAAAAAACCUUCUGUCUCUACAUAACAAAAAAACCAAACAAAAAUAAAUGAAAUGUUCACUUAAAUAAUAAAUUAAUUACAUUUAACGAAACAUAUCAAAAAUUAGUCUGAUUUUCUAUUUUAUAAUUAUUAAAUAAAACUUAAAACCAAUAUACAACAAAAACCAUAACUCUAAAGGCAGUGUUCUUGAAAUUAUACUAACUGUACUCGAAAUAAAUUUAUUAACUCACUUUAAUUAACUCAAAAUAAAUCGAAAAUAAAAACAAAAUUUAACAGAUAAAUCUUUGAAUUGUAAUCUAUGGGCGAGUUUCAGCACAAAUUCCCUAUAACUACGCUAACACAUGCAAAAGCGUGCAGUCAAAAGCAAACAACUUAACUGUGGACUGCAUUUGCCAUCAAUUCGCUUAAAGUUAUUACGCGUUUAAUCGAGUUUUGGCGUAUUUCAGUGUAAUAAUCGAUUCAAUCUGUGUCGAGCACAAUUUAUCGUCGUAUGCUCCACUUUCACACGACUGCGACCGAUGCGUGUGAAGCACAGCUAAAGCAAAAACAGUGAGUGAAAUAUAUAUUUACAGAUAGUCGAAAAGUAAUACUGGCAGUGUGUGUGCAUGUGUGCAAAUACAUGUGUAUCUGUAUGUGUGUUUAACGCCAGCGUGGCAAGCAAGCAGCUUAUGUGUUGAGCUCGUCACAUAAAAGGCUAUGAAAGCUUAAGUCUAACGCUAAGCCGCUAUCGUCUCACUUACACGAAAUUGGUUUAUUAAUAACACCACUACAAGCGCGUUAGCUGAAAGCGACAAUAUCUACAAGCAAUAUCAGUAAACUGAACUCACGGUAUUAUAACGCUUUACUAAAGUAAAUACCAAAGCAACAACAACCAGUGUGCUAUAAAGUUACGAAAAUAAAAAUAGAAAAACUAAUCAAGAAUAGUGCAGCAGUGAAUGGCGGAAACCAUGGCAGGAUUGUGGCUGAAUUUGACUUGCAAAAAGUUGCUACAAUGGCUGAGUAAAAGAUAUCUUCCUGUUGGGUUCAGUGAGGAAUAGCUCAAUA
This is a long non-coding RNA of Bactrocera dorsalis (oriental fruit fly), 1112 nucleotides long. RefSeq lists it as uncharacterized. The record is from RefSeq and is a predicted model, not a curated record. The transcript is spliced from 2 exons. Lineage: Eukaryota; Metazoa; Arthropoda; Insecta; Diptera; Tephritidae.